This 493-nucleotide ribosomal RNA is filed under the name Afroedura pondolia (Pondo rock gecko). RNAcentral's name for it is "partial 16S ribosomal RNA". It matches the Rfam family "Bacterial large subunit ribosomal RNA", at positions 1944 to 2604 of the family's 2925-position model. Lineage: Eukaryota; Metazoa; Chordata; Lepidosauria; Squamata; Gekkonidae. The record is from RNAcentral.
AACCGUGCAAAGGUAGCGUAAUCACUUGUCCCUUAAAUGAGGACCCGUAUGAAAGGUUAACUGAGGACAAACCUGUCUCUUAUGGCCAAUCAAUGAAACUGAUCUCCCAGUACAAAAGCUGGGAUAAACACAUAAGACGAGAAGACCCUGCGGAGCUUUAAGCCAAAGUACUGCCACAUCAGACAACAUCUCCAAACAAAGGAUAUAAAUAUAGNAAAACAGUACUAACUUUUAGUUGGGGCGACUGCGGAGAAAAACUAACCUCCAUGAAAACAGGUUAACGACCAACACUAGACCAACAAGCCACGUACUAAUAUUACUUGACCCAGCAAAGCUGAUCACCGAACCAAGUUACCCCAGGGAUAACAGCGCCAUCCCCUUCAAGAGUCCCUAUCGCCAAGGGGGCUUACGACCUCGAUGUUGGAUCAGGACACCCAGAUGGUGCAGCUACUAUCAAAGGUUCGUUUGUUCAACGAUUAAAGUCCCACGUGAU